This 1662-nucleotide long non-coding RNA is filed under the name Homo sapiens (human). RNAcentral's name for it is "NPPA antisense RNA 1 (NPPA-AS1)". The stretch from base 998 to 1170 matches the Rfam family "NPPA antisense RNA 1 conserved region 1". Lineage: Eukaryota; Metazoa; Chordata; Mammalia; Primates; Hominidae. The record is from RNAcentral.
AUUCCCAGUCACCCACUCACUCAGAAAGCCGGGAGUCAUCGGACACCUUGCUGGUCAGAGGUCCUGGGGGUGGUUUUGAACCAUCAGAGCUUGGACUUUUCUGACUUCCCCAGCAAGGAUCUUCCCACUUCCUGCUCCCUGUGUUCCCACCCUCCAGUGUUGGCACAGGCCCACCCCUGGCUCCACCAGAGCCAGAAGCAGAGGUAGAAUCAGGCGGGCCCCGGGCUGCACUCCGAGCAGUGUUCCUGGCCAUCUUUGCUACUUUCCUAGAGAACCCGGCUGUUGCCUUAAAUGUGUGAGAGGGACUUGGCCAAGGCAAAAGCUGGGGAGAUGCCAGUGACAACAUACAGUUCAUGACUAGGUUUAGGAAUUGGGCACUGAGAAAAUUCUCAAUAUUUCAGAGAGUCCUUCCCUUAUUUGGGACUCUUAACACGGUAUCCUCGCUAGUUGGUUUUAAGGGAAACACUCUGCUCCUGGGUGUGAGCAGAGGCUCUGGUCUUGCCCUGUGGUUUGACUCUCCUUAGAACCACCGCCCACCAGAAACAUAAAGGAUUAAAAUCACACUAAUAACCCCUGGAUGGUCAAUCUGAUAAUAGGAUCAGAUUUACGUCUACCCUAAUUCUUAACAUUGCAGCUUUCUCUCCAUCUGCAGAUUAUUCCCAGUCUCCCAGUAACACGUUUCUACCCAGAUCCUUUUUCAUUUCCUUAAGUUUUGAUCUCCGUCUUCCUGAUGAAGCAGGCAGAGCUCAGAGGAUCUUGGCAUCACCCACCAAAGUUAGCUGAAAGCAGGGCACUCCUGGAUAAAGCAGCUUCACUCAACUCUGGGGAAUGCUACCAUUUUUUUUCCAAAGUAGAAAGGAAGCACUUCUGAGCCAGUGACCACUGAAAGAUGAACACUCUUCCUGAUCCUCUCCUCUAGAAUUCAUCUCCUCCUGCUAGCAGCCGCGUCCUGGAGGAGCAGCGGAUGGGGAAUCCAUUCUGUUUCUUCCUGGUGUUUAGGAAGUUGCCCCACACACAGAUUGCCCCGAUGUCCAACCAGAAGAAGUGAAACUGCUGCUGGGUCUGGAGAGGUGAAGACCCGUGGCCAGCUUCUGUUGUUGCCAUCGGCCAUUGCUUUUUGUUCGCUUGCUUUUGGUUUUGCAAGAAGAGCGGCCUCUGUCUCUGAUCUGCUUCAAAUCAUCAUUCCAUCAGUGACAGAAGUGGCUGUUCCAUCAGUGGUCGCAGCCAGUUCAGCUCCUGCAUCCAUCCCCAAGUGUUCUGAGUGGAAUUUGAGGCCUCCCCAACCACCUACCAAAAAAGGAGGGUGAAAUGAAAGGAAGAAGAAAAACUCAGCAUUCUUUCCUCUGACAAAGAGUAAAACGACAAGGAAUAUCGGCCUGAAUUCUCUUCCCAAGAAGAAAGAAAGCACACCAACGCAGGCAUUUGUCUUCUGUCCAUGGUGCUGAAGUUUAUUCACUUUCAAACCACUUUCAGUAACAGCAAAUUCUUUAGAAAAGGAAAAUACAGGGAAAGGGAUAAACCUCACUGACUUGGAGGAAAUCAAGAGGAGUGAGCACAGCAUCAGAAAGCCCCCUGGCCCCAGACUGCACCCGCUUUCCUGGCCCUACCUUGAAAUCCAUCAGGUCUGCGUUGGACACGGCAUUGUACAUGGGAUUAGCUCUG